Molecule: long non-coding RNA, 405 nt
Organism: Hemicordylus capensis (graceful crag lizard)
Lineage: Eukaryota; Metazoa; Chordata; Lepidosauria; Squamata; Cordylidae
Exons: 2
Source: RefSeq, a predicted model, not a curated record
AAAGUGCUAUGGAGGCUUCACAGUUCCAAGUAAUUGAGGGGAUUGUGGAGGAGGUUUAACAGCUGCAUACAAUUGAGUGUUGAAGGCUAUAUAUUAAGAAGUAAGUGAGAUGGUGGCAAGAGAGAGGCUGCAUGUCCUGAUUCAGCUCAGUUUGUCAUGUUUUGGUAUAUUUACUUGGCAUGUGAAAAGUUCAUGUGAAAUAAUUCACACCCUCCUGGAUGAAUCUAAACAAUGGGAUUGGAGGAAGUAAUAAAGAAUCCUUACAACAACCAGGGAGAAGACUCUGUCUCUGAGAAACUGUUUAUAUACUUACAGUUGAAAAUACUGUUUUUUGAUGAAGCAAUUGUGAAACGAAGAUUUAUCAUGAAAUCUUGUAGAAAUAUACUUAUUAUACACAAAUACUGA